GGGGCUGUCGGCUAGUCUGGUAGGCUGCGAGCCUUGGGCGCUCGCGACUAGGGUUCAAAUCCCUGCAGCCCCA
RNAcentral lists this transfer RNA (73 nucleotides) under Candidatus Marsarchaeota G2 archaeon OSP_D. Its description in RNAcentral is "tRNA-Pro". It matches the Rfam family "tRNA". Rfam says of the family: Transfer RNA (tRNA) molecules are approximately 80 nucleotides in length. Their secondary structure includes four short double-helical elements and three loops (D, anti-codon, and T loops). RNAcentral also lists the same sequence under 7 other names. Lineage: Archaea; Thermoproteati; Thermoproteota. The record is from RNAcentral.